Molecule: unclassified non-coding RNA, 264 nt
Filed under: Hevea brasiliensis (rubber tree)
Lineage: Eukaryota; Viridiplantae; Streptophyta; Magnoliopsida; Malpighiales; Euphorbiaceae
Source: RNAcentral
AAUACAGAGGAAAUUUGAAUGUGAAGAGAGUCCAAUUUGAAGACAAGUACUUCAGCUGGGCAGCUUUUGGAGAUGCAAUUGAGGAUGCUAUCAACAGAGGAAAUUUCUUUGGUUAGCAACCCUAUGCUAGAGUAAGUUCAGCAAAUAGACGGGAUUCGUUUAAUCUCUUAGGAUAAUGGGAUCCAGGUAAGGCAGCCCAACCUAACAAUUGAAUCUGCUGUUGCCUGUUGAUGGUCAUGAUGACUCUUCUGUGAUAAAAGUUUG